GGACCCCCAAGGACCCCGGGGGGACCCCCAGGCUGAGCCCCCCCGGGCCGGAGCGGCGCCCGCAGAGACCCUCGGCCACCCGGGUGUGACGUCAGCUGCGCCCCCAAAUCCGGGCAAUAAAAGAGAAAUUUUGGUGGUUUUGGA
Molecule: long non-coding RNA, 144 nt
Organism: Zonotrichia leucophrys gambelii
Lineage: Eukaryota; Metazoa; Chordata; Aves; Passeriformes; Passerellidae
Exons: 2
Source: RefSeq, a predicted model, not a curated record